Theobroma cacao (cacao) is the source of this 312-nucleotide non-coding RNA. Lineage: Eukaryota; Viridiplantae; Streptophyta; Magnoliopsida; Malvales; Malvaceae. The record is from RefSeq and is a predicted model, not a curated record.
UGUGGAUUUCAAGUAAUCAAGCAAUCAAAGGUUCCAACGAGGCCCUUAGCCCCAUUUAAACCAUUCGUUGAAGUUAGAGCCCACCGAAACAUCAAUAAAGAUUGAGGCAGUUGGAACCUAGGUUGAGGUGUCCACGUAGUUUCAUCUUCUUUGUAGGUAGGUUGGCAUUCAAUAGCCGUCCCUUCACCUUGGUCACUCCGCUGGAAGCUCAGAGUCAUUUUUGUUUGUAAAUACGUACAUGUGAUGUAAAGUACUAAAAUGCAUGACUUAGACCAUAUAUGUAUAUUUUGAUUGGUAAGCCAUCAUGAAUGG